This 491-nucleotide ribosomal RNA is filed under the name uncultured bacterium. Its description in RNAcentral is "partial 16S ribosomal RNA". It matches the Rfam family "Bacterial small subunit ribosomal RNA", at positions 29 to 506 of the family's 1533-position model. The record is from RNAcentral.
AGUGAACGCUGGCGGUAGGCCUAACACAUGCAAGUCGAACGGCAGCACAGUAAGAGCUUGCUCUUACGGGUGGCGAGUGGCGGACGGGUGAGGAAUACAUCGGAAUCUACUUUUUCGUGGGGGAUAACGUAGGGAAACUUACGCUAAUACCGCAUACGACCUACGGGUGAAAGCAGGGGAUCUUCGGACCUUGCGCGAUUGAAUGAGCCGAUGUCGGAUUAGCUAGUUGGCGGGGUAAAGGCCCACCAAGGCGACGAUCCGUAGCUGGUCUGAGAGGAUGAUCGGCCACACUGGAACUGAGACACGUGCCAGACUCCUACGGGAGGCAGCAGUGGGGAAUAUUGGACAAUGGGCGCAAGCCUGAUCCAGCCAUACCGCGUGGGUGAAGAAGGCCUUCGGGUUGUAAAGCCCUUUUGUUGGGAAAGAAAAGCAGCAGGUUAAUACCCCGCUGUUCGGACGGUACCCAAAGAAUAAGCACCGGCUAACUUCGU